ACGUCAGCACGUCGACGCGGGUUUUCUCCGCCGGCCCGCGACCCCCGCUCGGGUGCCGCUCUGCUCUUCCGCCGGUGUCCCUGGGCGAGGGGCGGUCGGGCCCUCCCGCGGCCGGCGCCGUUGCCGGGGCUGGGAGCUCGGACGGACUGCCUUCGCCUCCCCGCCGGGCUCUCGUCCGCGCCUCCCCGCCUCAGAGGCCUCGGGGCGGUGGCGGCCCCGGACUCGGCGGGGCUCGGAUGGGCGGCGGGAGGAGCGGCCGGGGAUGUUCAGUCUGAUGGCCACUUGCUGCGGCUGGGUCCGGCGCUGGCGCGAGCCGGUCAGAAAGGUGACUCUUGUGAUGGUGGGACUUGAUAAUGCUGGUAAAACGGCAACGGCGAAGGGAAUCCAAGGAGAGUAUCCUGAAGACGUAGCUCCUACUGUUGGAUUUUCCAAAGUUGACCUUAGACAAGGAAAGUUUGAAGUCACCAUCUUUGACUUGGGAGGUGGAAAAAAAAUUCGGGGAAUCUGGAAGAAUUACUAUGCUGAGUCCUAUGGGGUCAUAUUUGUUGUGGAUUCCAGUGAUGAACAGCGAAUGGAAGAGACAAAAGAGACGAUGUCAGAAGUACUAAGACAUCCUAGGAUCUCGGGAAAGCCUAUACUGGUGUUGGCAAAUAAACAAGACAAGGAAGGGGCCUUAGGAGAAGCUGAUGUGAUUGAAUGUCUGUCUCUGGAGCAGCUGGUCAAUGAGCACAAGUGCCUGUGUCAGAUUGAACCUUGUUCAGCAGUCUUGGGAUAUGGAAAGAAAAUUGACAAGUCCAUUAAAAAAGGCCUUUAUUGGCUGCUCCAUAUCAUUGCAAGAGACUUCGAUGCCUUAAAUGAGCGCAUCCAAAAAGACACCAUGGAGCAGCGUGCUCUUGAGGAACAAGAGAAGCAAGAAAGGGCUGAACGAGUACGAAAACUGCGGGAAGAAAGAGAACAAAGAGAGCGAGAAGAGGCUGAACUUGAUGGAACCAGUGGUCUGGCUGACUUGGACCCAGAACCUGUUAUUGUUAAUCCUUUCCAGCCCAUAGCGUCUGUAAUCAUUGAGAAUGAAAAAAAGCUUGAAAAAAAGAGGCAAAAUAUGGAGAAAGACAAUGAUGGCUGCUCCCUGAAACAUAAAAUGGAUCAUGAGCAAAUAGAGACGCAGAGCCAGAUCAGCAACAGCAGCCAAAGAAACAGUGAGUUUGGACUAGUAGAAAACUAUCAGGAGGCACUAACCCAGCCGCUGGAGAAUGAAGAUGAGACAGACCAGCCGUCGUCAGAAUCAGAUAAUGGUAAAAAGAAAACUAAGAAACUAAGAAUAAAAAGGAGUCACCGUGUAGAACCUGUUAGUACUGAUGAGUCUGCUCCUAAGAGUCCAACGCCACCCCCACCUCCUCCUCCUGUUGGCUGGGGAACCCCCAAAGUCACUAGACUUCCAAAACUCCAGCUUCUUGGUGAAACACGUCAUAACGGUCCUGGAGAAUGUGCGUGGCAGCCUCGAGCUCUGCGGGGCUGGUCAAGACCGAGUGCAGGCAGAGUUUCAAGACGGCUUUAUUAGGCUGCCCUCCAGGGCCGUGCCUGCAUGACGGGCUGCAUCUGCUCCAGGCGCUCACAGGCCACUCAGUGGACGAACGACCCUGAGGCAGCAGCACCACGGAGCGCUCGGCUACGCUCCAUACCUGCAGGACCGGACACAGGCCCCUAAUGCGUUCUCAGUAUUUACUUCAAACUUCUACGGGAAGCCGCUGCCUCCCCUGGCCGUGCGACAAAGACCCAACAGUGAUGCUCACGACGUGAUCUCAUAACCAGGUCGCGUGGCUGAGCUCUCCCACUGUCCUAAAGAGCUGGAGGACCUUCCCCCUCAGGGAAGAAAACCCUGAAGGCUGACGCCCGGGCAAGACGACCACAGCGGCUCCAAGGAGGCGACCAGCCUGAUGGUGACUUGUCCGUGUUCUUCAUGGUUAAAAAAGGAAGCGAGAUGACCAGCAGACGGGAUGAGCAUUGGCCAGCAAGAGUUGCGUUGACUCUGGUUCUGCAUCCCCCUCGGGCACUGUCCUGAGGGAAACCUCUUCAGAAGAGCCAGUGGCCCUGCACGCUCUCCUACUGUCUAACAGCCUCUAUUUCUGUAUCUGAAAUGUUUUUUGUGAGAUACAUGUGCAUGGAAGGGGGACUCCUGGGAAUUUAUAACCUAAAUUUUUAACUUUUUAUAUUUUUCUAAAACCUUUGUUUAAGAAUUUUAAUUACUAUGAUGUUGACUGUGCACUUUUCUAUAGAUGCUUUGUUUAAAUUGUGUCUGGAAAAUGGGGUUGAUUUACUUGACAAACAUGAACUAUACAAACAAUAUAUUUGUAUGGUUUGAGGUAUGUUUUAUAAUAGUAUUCUUCAUGAAGUCUACAUCCUAAUUUGACUUAAUUUUAAAAUAAUACCUUUUUAAAAUAGAUUCUCAGGUCUUUAUUCUACCAAAUUAUGGUAUUUGAAAGCACUACCCAAGGAAAGAGUUCAGUUUUUCUCUUGUUGUUUGUUUUCUUUGGUGAUGAUCCCAAAAAUGAAAGAGACUUGAAAUACCUUUUGACCUAAAUACUCUCUAAAUUAAUAAAAAUGUUAUGUGAGAAUUUAUUAAAAGUCCCAAUAAACGCUUCUUUUAAAGUUGGACCUUUUAGAUCCAGGUGCUCCUGUCACCCCUUGUUCUCUCAGAAGCUGCAGUGACUUUAGGUUUUUCUGACUCUUUUGUGCCUUGAAAUUAAAGGCAAAAAGACUGAAAAGCUUCUGUAGGUCCAGAGACUUGUGUUUUAUAACUGGGAAAUGCUUGGUUACUACAGUAAGAAUAAAACUGUCGGUUUAAAAUUACGUUUAUAAAGAAAUAAUUCCAAAAUAAAGUAUUACUUCUCUUGCACUGACGAAUGACAUCUACAGGAUGCUGUACUCGUCUGGCAUUUAGACAAACUUUUAGACAUAUAUUUUGAGUAAUAGAUUCAUGUUCAUUUAUAUGAAAGCAUACAUUUAUAUCAAGGAGAAAAUAUCAUAAACAGUAUGGUUUCCAUCACCGUGUUAAAAUUGGUCGUUUGGUAACUUGUACUGACCACAGACUCACACAGGUGUCUGACAGAAACAUGAUAGGUAAGUCCAAGGCAGUUUAAUGUGAUCGUUUACUUUUAGAAUUUUACUUCAGAGCAUCACAUCUUAUUCACAUUUUUUAACUCGUUGAACUUUAAUCAGGUCACUUACUACUGAUUAAACUCCAGGUUUUUGGGGUUUUGUACAUGUACCUACCUAGCACACUGAGUAACAAGCACCGUCCUUCAGAUCAAGUUUGAUAGGUGGCUGAAAUGUAAGGAAAACAAUACAAGGAGACAGAGUAUAAACUUUGAAUUAGAUUUUAGAGAAUAAACUUGUUUGCACAUCUUGUUGGUUCCUUUUGUAACAUUUACAUUUAUUCAUGUUUUUAAAAACUAAGCAUACUUUGCCAUCUUUUUAAUAUUCAUCUAGUUUGAGAAUAAAUAUGUUUUUAAAAUUUAUUUUCCUACCAGUGAUUACUGCAGUGUACAAUAAUUACUGAGUCCAUUUAAUAAAAAUGAUUUUGAAAUUAAAUAUAUGAUAAAGUAAAAUGUUUUAUAUCGCUCUCAAAAAAUUAAUUUGUAUUCUUAAAGCAUUCUAAAAAUAUUCUAAAAGAAAUUUUGUAAAUUCAGGUGGUUUUUAACAAGUAAAUGCCUAUUUUGUUAUAUGCUGCAUUUUUAUUAUUAAUCUUCAUGAAUUAUGACAUUUUCACACAAUAAAAAUAAUUUAUAUCAGUA
Equus caballus (horse) is the source of this 3791-nucleotide RNA transcript. It is a transcript of the gene named ADP ribosylation factor like GTPase 13B, with no coding region annotated. NCBI's taxonomy places the organism in Eukaryota, Metazoa, Chordata, Mammalia, Perissodactyla, Equidae. The record is from RefSeq and is a predicted model, not a curated record.